AACGAACGCUGGCGGCAGGCCUAACACAUGCAAGUCGAGCGCGCCCUUCGGGGUGAGCGGCGGACGGGUGAGUAACGCGUGGGAACGUGCCCUUUUCUACGGAAUAGCCUCGGGAAACUGAGAGUAAUACCGUAUACGCCCUUUGGGGGAAAGAUUUAUCGGAAAAGGAUCGGCCCGCGUUGGAUUAGGUAGUUGGUGGGGUAAUGGCCUACCAAGCCGACGAUCCAUAGCUGGUUUGAGAGGAUGAUCAGCCACACUGGGGCUGAGACACGGCCCAGACUCCUGCGGGAGGCAGCAGUGGGGAAUCUUAGACAAUGGGGGCAACCCUGAUCGAGCCAUGCCGCGUGAGUGAUGAAGGCCUUAGGGUUGUAAAGCUCUUUCAGCUGGGAAGAUAAUGACGGUACCAGCAGAAGAAGCCCCGGCUAACUCCGUG
RNAcentral lists this ribosomal RNA (433 nucleotides) under uncultured bacterium. RNAcentral's name for it is "partial 16S ribosomal RNA". It matches the Rfam family "Bacterial small subunit ribosomal RNA", at positions 29 to 507 of the family's 1533-position model. The record is from RNAcentral.